Long non-coding RNA from Lucilia cuprina (Australian sheep blowfly), 548 nucleotides. RefSeq lists it as uncharacterized. The record is from RefSeq and is a predicted model, not a curated record. Lineage: Eukaryota; Metazoa; Arthropoda; Insecta; Diptera; Calliphoridae. The transcript has 2 exons.
AUAACAAUAUUGUGUUAUAUAUUAUUUCAUUUCUAUUUCAAUCUCGCUUCAUAACGAACAAAUUUUUUUGAUAAUUUUUUUUUGUGAAAAAGUUUAAUUUUAUUUCAAUAAAAAAAAAAGAAAAAAAGCCUGUUUUUAGAAGGGGCCCCUCCCUGGCAUAUUGAUUGUUGUAACCAAAUAUCUCUGAUGUGUGUAAAAUGACUUUGUAUGCAUUAAAAGCAAAACUAUUUAACCAUAAUUCUUACAAAAUUACAAAACUCAAUUUUUACAGCUUAAAACAGGUAGAUGACUAUAAAGUAAAAAUUACAGAAGUAAUAAAACCUGUGUUUAAGCUGCAACUUUUCUAAAAAAUAAAAAUUAACUUCUCAAAUAAAAAACAACAAUGACUACAGGAUUUUAACAACAACAACAACAAACAAACAAAAAUCAUCAUCUUUAAUAACAAAGGAAAGAAGAGUCUCAUCAACAAAUCAAAUUUAAAAGUGGAAAACACUCAAAAUAAAAAUCUACAAGAAAUGAAUCUCAUUGUAUUACAAACAACAACAACA